CAGUCGCCACGGUAAUACGAGGGGGGCAAGCGUUGUUCGGAAUUAUUGGGCGUAGAGGGCACGUAGGCGGUUUGGCAAGUUUGGUGUGAAAUCUUCGGGCUCAACUCGAAGUCUGCAUCGAAAACUGCCGGGCUUGAGUAUGGGAGAGGUGAGUGGAAUUUCCGGUGUAGCGGUGAAAUGCGUAGAUAUCGGAAGGAACACCUGUGGCGAAAGCGGCUCACUGGACCAUAACUGACGCUGAGGCGCGAAAGCUAGGUGAGCAAACAGGAUUAGAGACCCCGGUAGUCCCUGUCUCUUAUAC
RNAcentral lists this ribosomal RNA (301 nucleotides) under uncultured bacterium. RNAcentral describes it as "partial 16S ribosomal RNA". It matches the Rfam family "Bacterial small subunit ribosomal RNA", at positions 509 to 807 of the family's 1533-position model. The record is from RNAcentral.